UUACGGCCGUACCAUGCUGAAUAUACCGGUUCUCGUUAGAUCACCGAAGUCAAGCAUCAUUGGGCGCGGUCAGUACUUGGGUGGGUGACCACCUGGGAACACUGCGUGCCGUU
Caerostris darwini is the source of this 113-nucleotide non-coding RNA. NCBI's taxonomy places the organism in Eukaryota, Metazoa, Arthropoda, Arachnida, Araneae, Araneidae. The record is from the annotation of a GenBank genome assembly.